GUACGUUCGCAAGAAUGAAACUCAAAGGUAUUGACGGGGUCCCGCACAAGCGGUGGAGCAUGUGGUUUAAUUCGAUGAUACGCGAGGAACCUUACCAAGGCUUAAAUGUAGAUUGCCCGAUUUGGAAACAGAUUUUUCGCAAGACAAUUUACAAGGUGCUGCAUGGUUGUCGUCAGCUCGUGCCGUGAGGUGUCAGUUUAAGUCCUAUAACGAGCGCAACCCCUGUUGUUAGUUGCCAGCGAGUAGUGUCGGGAACUCUAACAAGACUGCCAGUGUAAACUGUGAGGAAGGUGGGGAUGACGUCAAAUCAUCACGGCCCUUACGCCUUGGGCUACACACGUGCUACAAUGGACGGUACAGAGAGCAGCCACUACGUGAGUAGGAGCGAAUCUACAAAACCGUUCUCAGUUCGGAUCGGAGUCUGCAACUCGACUCCGUGAAGCGGGAAUCGCUAGUAAUCGGAUAUCAGCCAUGAUCCGGUGAAUACGUUCCCGGGCAUUGUACACACCGCCCGUCAAG
This 519-nucleotide ribosomal RNA is filed under the name uncultured Bacteroidota bacterium. RNAcentral's name for it is "bacterial SSU rRNA". It matches the Rfam family "Bacterial small subunit ribosomal RNA", at positions 880 to 1401 of the family's 1533-position model. Lineage: Bacteria; Pseudomonadati; Bacteroidota. The record is from RNAcentral.